GACGAACGCUGGCGGCGUGCCUAAUACAUGCAAGUAGAACGCACAGUUUAUACCGUAGCUUGCUACACCAUAGACUGUGAGUUGCGAACGGGUGAGUAACGCGUAGGUAACCUGCCUGGUAGCUGGGGAUAACUAUUGGAAACGAUAGCUAAUACCGCAUAAUAUUGAUUAUUGCAUGAUAAUUAAUUGAAAGUUGCAAUUGCACCACUACCAGAUGGACCUGCGUUGUAUUAGCUAGUAGGUGAGGUAACGGCUCACCUAGGCGACGAUACAUAGCCGACAGGAGAUGGUGAGCGGCCAGACUGGGAGUGAGACCGGGCCCAGAGGCCUACGGGAGGCAGCAGGAGGGAAUCUUCGGCAAUGGACGAAAGUCUGACCGCGAAACGCCGAGGGAGUGAAGAAGGUUGUCGGAUCGUGAAGCUCGGUUGUAAGAGAAGAAAGGGUGUGAGAGUGGAAAGUUCACACUGUGACGGUAUCUGACCAGAAAGGGACGGCUAACUACGUG
This 505-nucleotide ribosomal RNA is filed under the name uncultured bacterium. Its description in RNAcentral is "partial 16S ribosomal RNA". It matches the Rfam family "Bacterial small subunit ribosomal RNA", at positions 28 to 507 of the family's 1533-position model. The record is from RNAcentral.